GCCAGAUACAAGGGGGUGUGCCUGUAGCCCCAGCUACUCAGGAAGCACAGGCAGGAGGAUCACUGGAGCCCAAGAGUUCUGUGCUAUAGUGCACUAUACCAAUUGGUGUCUAUUCUAAGUCUGGCAUCAAUGCGAUGACCUUCAGGGAGCAGGGUGUGCAGGAGAUUGCCUAAAGAGAGAGAAACCAGAAUAGGUCAGAAAAGGAUCAGGUCAAAAUUCCCAUGCCAAUCAGUAGUGAGAUCGUCCCUGUGAACAGCCACUGAGUUCCAGCCUGGGCAACAUAGUGAGAUUUCAUCUCUC
Molecule: non-coding RNA, 300 nt
Organism: Otolemur garnettii (small-eared galago)
Lineage: Eukaryota; Metazoa; Chordata; Mammalia; Primates; Galagidae
Source: Rfam